RNAcentral lists this unclassified non-coding RNA (243 nucleotides) under Glomus sp. RNAcentral describes it as "partial contains 5.8S ribosomal RNA and internal transcribed spacer 2". The stretch from base 1 to 65 matches the Rfam family "5.8S ribosomal RNA", at positions 84 to 154 of the family's 154-position model. The record is from RNAcentral. Lineage: Eukaryota; Fungi; Glomeromycota; Glomeromycetes; Glomerales; Glomeraceae.
GUGAAUCAUCAAAUUUUUGAACGCAAAUUGCACUCCCCUCGGAGAGUAUGCCUGUUUGAGGUUCAGCCUAUAAAAAAUCGACAUCGUUGCUGUUUCGCGGUCGCGUUCGUCGGAAAUUGGGUCAUCUUAUAUCUAUUGGUUUUAAGCGACCUAAAAUUUUCUUUUUGGUUCCAUUAACGUUUCUAAGAUCUAUUUCUUUUCACGUUCUAGUCAUCGUUCUUUACUAGACGUGACUAUCAUAUC